Molecule: ribosomal RNA, 279 nt
Filed under: uncultured bacterium
Lineage: Bacteria
Description: partial 16S ribosomal RNA
Rfam family: Bacterial small subunit ribosomal RNA
Source: RNAcentral
UGCCAGCCGCCGCGGUAAUACGAAGGGUGCUAGCGUUGUUCGGAAUUACUGGGCGUAAAGAGCAUGUAGGCGGAUGAAUUAGUCAUAGGUGAAAUCCCCGAGCUCAACUCGGGAACUGCCUGUGAGACCUCAGUACUAGAGUUCUGGAGAGGCUGGCGGAAUUCCAUGUGUAGCGGUGAAAUGCGUAGAUAUAUGGAGGAACACCGGUGGCGAAGGCGGCCAGCUGGCCAGAGACUGACGCUGAGACACGAAAGCGUGGGUAGCAAACAGGAUUAGAUA